GAUGAAUGCUGGCGGCGUGCCUAAUACAUGCAAGUCGAGCGGCAGCGCGUCUAGUUUACUAGAUGGCGGCGAGCGGCGGACGGCUGAGUAACGCGUAGGAAUGUGCCCCAAAGUGAGGAAUAACUGCCCGAAAGGGUAGCUAAUGCCGCAUAUGGUCUUCGGAUUAAAGGAUUUAUCCGCUUUGGGAGCAGCCUGCGUACGAUUAGAUAGUUGGUGAGGUAAUGGCUCACCAAGUCGACGAUCGUUAGCUGGUCUGAGAGGAUGAUCAGCCAGACUGGAACUGAGACACGGUCCAGACUCCUACGGGAGGCAGCAGUAAGGAAUCUUCCACAAUGGGCGAAAGCCUGAUGGAGCAACGCCGCGUGCAGGAUGAAGGCCUUGGUGUAAACUGCUUUAUGAGUGAAGAAUAUAGACGGUAACUCAAUGAAUAAGCACCGGCUAACUACGU
Molecule: ribosomal RNA, 448 nt
Filed under: uncultured bacterium
Lineage: Bacteria
Description: bacterial SSU rRNA
Rfam family: Bacterial small subunit ribosomal RNA
Source: RNAcentral